Molecule: microRNA, 21 nt
Filed under: Prunus persica (peach)
Lineage: Eukaryota; Viridiplantae; Streptophyta; Magnoliopsida; Rosales; Rosaceae
Description: microRNA miRNA_347
Source: RNAcentral
GAAUGUUGUCUGGCUCGAGGC